GACGAACGCUGGCGGCGUGCUUAACACAUGCAAGUCGAACGGAAAGGCCCUGCUUUUGUGGGGUGCUCGAGUGGCGAACGGGUGAGUAACACGUGAGUAACCUGCCCUUGACUUUGGGAUAACUUCAGGAAACUGGGGCUAAUACCGGAUAGGAGCUCCUGCUGCAUGGUGGGGGUUGGAAAGUUUCGGCGGUUGGGGAUGGACUCGCGGCUUAUCAGCUUGUUGGUGGGGUAGUGGCUUACCAAGGCUUUGACGGGUAGCCGGCCUGAGAGGGUGAACGGCCACAUGGGGACUGAGAUACGGCCCAGAGGCCUACGGGAGGCAGCAGUGGGGAAUAUUGCACAAUGGGCGGGAGCCUGAUGCAGCGACGCCGCGUGCGGGAUGACGGCCUUGGGGUGGUAAACCGCUGUCGCCUGUGACGAAGCGUGAGUGACGGUAAUGGGUAAAGAAGCACCGGCUAACUACGUG
RNAcentral lists this ribosomal RNA (468 nucleotides) under uncultured bacterium. Its description in RNAcentral is "partial 16S ribosomal RNA". It matches the Rfam family "Bacterial small subunit ribosomal RNA", at positions 28 to 507 of the family's 1533-position model. The record is from RNAcentral.